CUACGUGCCAGCAGCCGCGGUAAUACGUAGGGCGCGAGCGUUGUCCGGAAUUAUUGGGCGUAAAGAGCUUGUAGGCGGUUUGUCGCGUCUGCUGUGAAAGGCCGGGGCUUAACUCCGUGUAUUGCAGUGGGUACGGGCAGACUAGAGUGCAGUAGGGGAGACUGGAAUUCCUGGUGUAGCGGUGGAAUGCGCAGAUAUCAGGAGGAACACCGAUGGCGAAGGCAGGUCUCUGGGCUGUAACUGACGCUGAGAAGCGAAAGCAUGGGGAGCGAACAGGAUUAGAUACCCUGGUAGUCCACGCCGUAAACGAUGAUUACUAGGUGUUGGGGGUCGAACCUCAGCGCCCAAGCUAACGCGAUAAGUAAUCCGCCUGGGGAGUACGUACGCAAGUAUGAAACUCAAAGGAAUUGACGGGGACCCGCACAAGCGGUGGAGCAUGUGGUUUAAUUCGACGCAACGCGAGGAACCUUACCAGCGUUUGACAUC
RNAcentral lists this ribosomal RNA (486 nucleotides) under uncultured bacterium. RNAcentral's name for it is "bacterial SSU rRNA". It matches the Rfam family "Bacterial small subunit ribosomal RNA", at positions 501 to 988 of the family's 1533-position model. The record is from RNAcentral.